This 721-nucleotide ribosomal RNA is filed under the name Bacillus siamensis. RNAcentral describes it as "bacterial SSU rRNA". It matches the Rfam family "Bacterial small subunit ribosomal RNA", at positions 55 to 758 of the family's 1533-position model. The record is from RNAcentral. Lineage: Bacteria; Bacillati; Bacillota; Bacilli; Caryophanales; Bacillaceae.
AUGCAAGUCGAGCGGACAGAUGGGAGCUUGCUCCCUGAUGUUAGCGGCGGACGGGUGAGUAACACGUGGGUAACCUGCCUGUAAGACUGGGAUAACUCCGGGAAACCGGGGCUAAUACCGGAUGGUUGUCUGAACCGCAUGGUUCAGACAUAAAAGGUGGCUUCGGCUACCACUUACAGAUGGACCCGCGGCGCAUUAGCUAGUUGGUGAGGUAACGGCUCACCAAGGCGACGAUGCGUAGCCGACCUGAGAGGGUGAUCGGCCACACUGGGACUGAGACACGGCCCAGACUCCUACGGGAGGCAGCAGUAGGGAAUCUUCCGCAAUGGACGAAAGUCUGACGGAGCAACGCCGCGUGAGUGAUGAAGGUUUUCGGAUCGUAAAGCUCUGUUGUUAGGGAAGAACAAGUGCCGUUCAAAUAGGGCGGCACCUUGACGGUACCUAACCAGAAAGCCACGGCUAACUACGUGCCAGCAGCCGCGGUAAUACGUAGGUGGCAAGCGUUGUCCGGAAUUAUUGGGCGUAAAGGGCUCGCAGGCGGUUUCUUAAGUCUGAUGUGAAAGCCCCCGGCUCAACCGGGGAGGGUCAUUGGAAACUGGGGAACUUGAGUGCAGAAGAGGAGAGUGGAAUUCCACGUGUAGCGGUGAAAUGCGUAGAGAUGUGGAGGAACACCAGUGGCGAAGGCGACUCUCUGGUCUGUAACUGACGCUGAGGAGCGAAA